UUCAAGUUCAGUCGUAGGUUUUUUUCUAACGUUUAACCGUCCAUUUUUUUUAAAAUAUUUUUACAGUUAGUACUUUUAUUAUUAUCAGAUGAUAAACUAAAAAUAAUAUUUUAUGUGUGAUCUAUUUUUAAUAUUUUUUUUAAAAUAAAACGAACAAUUAAAUAUUGAACACAUAAAUAAUACGCAACACAAAAC
Molecule: microRNA precursor, 195 nt
Filed under: Oryza punctata
Lineage: Eukaryota; Viridiplantae; Streptophyta; Magnoliopsida; Poales; Poaceae
Description: MIR812 microRNA precursor family
Rfam family: MIR812 microRNA precursor family
Source: Rfam by way of RNAcentral